This 467-nucleotide ribosomal RNA is filed under the name uncultured bacterium. RNAcentral describes it as "partial 16S ribosomal RNA". It matches the Rfam family "Bacterial small subunit ribosomal RNA", at positions 28 to 507 of the family's 1533-position model. The record is from RNAcentral.
GACGAACGCUGGCGGCGUGCUUAACACAUGCAAGUCGAACGGAAAGGCCAGUGCUUGCACUGGUGCUCGAGUGGCGAACGGGUGAGUAACACGUGGGUGAUCUGCCUUGCACUCUGGGAUAAGCUUGGGAAACUGGGUCUAAUACCGGAUAGGAACCGUCUUUAGUGUGGUGGUUGGAAAGUUUUUUCGGUGCAAGAUGAGCUCGCGGCCUAUCAGCUUGUUGGUGGGGUAAUGGCCUACCAAGGCGUCGACGGGUAGCCGGCCUGAGAGGGUGUACGGCCACAUUGGGACUGAGAUACGGCCCAGACUCCUACGGGAGGCAGCAGUGGGGAAUAUUGCACAAUGGGCGGAAGCCUGAUGCAGCGACGCCGCGUGGGGGAUGACGGCCUUCGGGUUGUAAACUCCUUUCGACAGGGACGAAGCGUUAUGUGACGGUACCUGUAGAAGAAGCACCGGCUAACUACGUG